This 492-nucleotide ribosomal RNA is filed under the name uncultured bacterium. Its description in RNAcentral is "partial 16S ribosomal RNA". It matches the Rfam family "Bacterial small subunit ribosomal RNA", at positions 29 to 507 of the family's 1533-position model. The record is from RNAcentral.
AGUGAACGCUGGCGGUAGGCUUAACACAUGCAAGUCGAACGGCAGCACAGUAAGCGCCCGCUCUUACGGGUGGCGACUGGCGGAUGGGUGAGGAAAACGUCGGAAUCUACUUUUUCGAGGGGGACAACGUCGGGAAAAAUACGCCAAUACCGCAUACGACCUACGGGGGAAAGCAUGGGACCUCCGGACCUUGCGCGAUCGAAUGACCCGAUGUCGGAUUAGCUAGUUGGGGGGGUAAAGGCCCACCAAGGGGACGGUUCGUAGCUGGUCUGAGAGGACGACCAGGCCCCCUGGGACUGAGACACGGGCCCGACUCCCACGGGAGGCCGGUGGGGGGAAUUUUGGACAAUGGGCGAAAGCCUGAUCCAGCCCUGCCGCGUGUGGGAUGAAGGCCCUCGGGUUUUAAAGCCCCUUUGGUGGGAAAGAAAAGGACUGUGGUAAUACCCCGGUUUGAUGACGGUACCCGAAGAAUAAGCCCCGGCUAACUUCGUG